AACGUAGGACGCAAGCGUUAUCCGGAGUUACUGGGCGUAAAGCGCGGGCAGGCGGCCAACCAAGUCUGAUGUGAAAUCUCUUCGCUCAACGGAGAGAGGCCAUUGGAAACUGGUCGGCUGGAGGGCAGUAGAGGUAGGCGGAAUUCCGGGUGGAGUGGUGAAAUGCGUAGAGAUCCGGAGGAACACCAGAGGCGAAGGCGGCCUACUGGGCUGCACCUGACGCUGAGCCGCGAAAGCCAGGGGAGCAAACGGG
This 253-nucleotide ribosomal RNA is filed under the name uncultured bacterium. RNAcentral's name for it is "partial 16S ribosomal RNA". It matches the Rfam family "Bacterial small subunit ribosomal RNA", at positions 524 to 776 of the family's 1533-position model. The record is from RNAcentral.